AGGAAUUAUAAUAGUUUUUACAGGAUUCCCUUUGAUAGGCAUGCUCGUUGAAUUAUUUGGUUUUAUUAACUUAUUUGGUAAUUUUUUUCCCAUCGUCGUAAAUUUUCUAAGAUAUCUACCCAUCACGGGUCAUAUUCUGAAUCUCCCCGUCGUAAAUUUGUUAACCGACAAAAUAUCGGGUCGUUACCGGCAUGAGUUACCUGUUUAAAAGAAUGCAAACAUUUUAAAACUCAUAUCUUCUUAAAAUACCAGCUUAGCUUAGUUUACUCAAUGUUAUAUA
Zophobas morio is the source of this 280-nucleotide long non-coding RNA. RefSeq lists it as uncharacterized. NCBI's taxonomy places the organism in Eukaryota, Metazoa, Arthropoda, Insecta, Coleoptera, Tenebrionidae. The record is from RefSeq and is a predicted model, not a curated record. The transcript is spliced from 3 exons.